RNAcentral lists this ribosomal RNA (456 nucleotides) under uncultured bacterium. Its description in RNAcentral is "bacterial SSU rRNA". It matches the Rfam family "Bacterial small subunit ribosomal RNA", at positions 340 to 789 of the family's 1533-position model. The record is from RNAcentral.
UACGGAAGGCAGCAGUGGGGAAUAUUGCACAAUGGGCGCAAGCCUGAUGCAGCCAUGCCGCGUGUAUGAAAAAGGCCUUCGGGUUGUAAAGUACUUUCAGUCGUGAGGAAGGUGUUAAGGUUAAUAACCUUAGCAAUUGACGUUAGCGACAGAAGAAGCACCGGCUAACUCCGUGCCAGCAGCCGCGGUAAUACGGAGGGUGCGAGCGUUAAUCGGAAUUACUGGGCUAAAGGGCACGCAGGCGGUUAAUUAAGUUGGAUGUGAAAUCCCCGGGCUUAACCUGGGAAUGGCAUUCAAGACUGGUUAGCUAGAGUCUUGUAGAGGGGGUAGAAUUCCAUGUGUAGCGGUGAAAUGCGUAGAGAUGUGGAGGAAUACCGGUGGCGAAGGCGGCCCCUGGACAAAGGACUGACGCUCAUGUGCGAAAGCGUGGGGAGCAAACAGGGAUUAGAUACCCGU